Molecule: long non-coding RNA, 3004 nt
Organism: Aethalodelphis obliquidens (Pacific white-sided dolphin)
Lineage: Eukaryota; Metazoa; Chordata; Mammalia; Artiodactyla; Delphinidae
Exons: 3
Source: RefSeq, a predicted model, not a curated record
CUUUCUUUCUUUCUUAUUUUUGGCUGUGUUGGGUCUUAGUUGCAGCACGCGGGACCUUCGUUGCGGCGCAGGCUUCUUGCUAGUUGUGGCGUGUGGUUUUCUCUCACUAGUUGUGGCGCACAGGCUCCAGGGUGUGUGGGCUCUGUAGUUGUGGUGCAGGGGCUCUCUCGUUGAAGCGCGCGAGCUCAGUAGUUGUGGCACGUGGGCUUAGUUUUCCCGCAGCACGGGACCACCUCUAUCUAUUCAUCUGUCAGUGGACACUUAGGUUGCUUCUGUGUCUUGGCUAUUGCAAACAAUGUUUUAAUGAUCAUCCUUGAAUAUGCUUCUUUGGACAGAGGUGUGAGUAUUUUUCUAGGGUAAAUGCCAAGAUGGAUUUACUGGGUUAUAGGAUAUUAAAUUUUAAUAAUUAAUUGUCUUUAUUUUAGCUGUCAUCUUUUAGCUCAGCUCAGCUCAAAUCGAGGAUUAAGGCAUGUUCCUAGCAGAGAGGCUAUUCAGAGAUCCUACUUCAGCAGUUUAAGAUUCACCUAAGCUGACUCUGCCGCUGCCCCACCUCUGACCAUGGUAACUCAGUGUCUGAGCUCCUGCUUUUGUGUUUCCUUCUCUGUCUCAGCGACUUGCCCUGAUUUCCUCUAUACCCGAGUCUCUGAACACUGUACCUGUAUCUCUGAGACACUCAGCACCUAUCUGUUGGAAUCUUCACCAGUUACUGCUCUCCUCUCCUCCCCAGCACACUGGCCUGGAUGAACUCAUCAGUUCUUGGCUUCUAUGCUGACCGACUUGUGGGAUUCUGCUCUCAUCUGUCCUUUUCCCUUAGUCUAGGGUACUAGUGCUACAGGACCCAUUAGAGUCCAUAUUCUUCAGCUUUAGUUAUGAUAUUAAUACCUUAAAGACCCCUUUUUUGGCCUCCUACUCUAUCCUGAAGUUCCGUCUGGACUCUGCCACUUCCCGGCCUGGUGGCUGUCCAAGCUUGCACAGUGUUAUUGGGUUUCACAUUACCCCACAAUACUGAUGAUUUUCUAUUUCUAACCAUAUCUCUUUUUUUCCCCAGUGAGAAACUUCCUUUCUUUUUCUUUUCCCUGUUGUUUGAUAUCCUUCAAGGCUAGGUCUUCGUUCUGCUAUUCUUUCUAAGCACUUACUUCUUCAAUAUUUUCCUACUCUUACUUACCUUAACAGACUUAAAUACAGUUUAUUCCCAAGCAUAAAUAUCCAGACUUCACCCUUCCCCAUGCUCCAUGAGUGCGUUUCCAAUUGUCUGCAUAACAUCUCCAUUUGAAUGUUUCCCAUCACUUCAAUUUCAAUAUGUCUAAACCCAACAGAAUCAUCUGCUACAAUUUUACCCCAUCUGUUCCCUUUCCAGUUUUCUCUGUCUCUGUAAACGAUAUCACAUUUCCUUGAUCACCCAGACUAGAAAUCUUGGACCUAUAUCUGAUUUCUUUAUUUCUUCACCUCUUAUAGACAAUCCAACAUGGAAUCCUGCUGAAGUUUUUCCUUUGAAAAUAACGUUGUGGGUGACUUCUGAAUGAAAAGUGGAUUGGGUACAUGCAUUUAUCUCUUUUCUGAAAUGCCACUAAAAUGGCAGCCAAGCAAAGAUGACUAUUAAGUUGAAAAGGAUGUGUCCCCAAAACAGAGCAAGUCUGGACUGCACAAAAUUACCUUCCAUCUCGGAGCAAAUUACGACUUAAUAUGUUUCUGGGAGCACAGUUUCAGGCUUGAGCUCCCCGUUUAAGCACUGGAAGUUUCAGAAACGGUUUGGAGAAAAAGUUCUGUUUCCUGGCAGGAAUGGCAGUCUUGCAUGAGGUUUGAUAGAAGUGAUAUUAAGAGCAAGGUGUACUCUACUACACUUCAGAUCACAUUAUUCUCAGGGAAUAGCUUAUAAAGGAGGAACGAUUCUACAAAGAUUUUAAGUAUCCCUUUGAGUUGAUAUCUGCCUUCACGGUCACCUUCUUUGAAGAUUGCAUCUGUACCACCGUCAGAGCAUGGAGAAUAUUUUUGAUGACACCAACAGUCACCUAAAUCCCCACCUAGUAUUGACUCAUUCUUUCUUCUGCUAACUAAAUUGAAUUGUUGACAAUUCUUUUACUAUCUACAGAUACCAUAGAAAGAUUGGCUCUCCAGAGUUCUUUUAUUUUUCUGACCAUUUUAAGCAUGAUUUUCUAGAGUCCUGCUUAGAUUUAUUGUUUUGUAUAUAUCAUUAAAAUUGAUUUACCAGGAAUUCCAUCCACUUCUAUGAACCUUGAUUGGAGUCAUACAAAUUGAUGGUAGAGGCCACUGGAAUUUGGAAGCAUGAGUGAAAGUCCUAGUCCUGCCAUUGGAUGGCCCUGAGUAUAUGUUUAAUUCCAUCUUAGGUUCUCUGUCAAACAGCGAUAAUAUGUAUCUCGUGGGCUUCAUUUUGAGGUUAAGUACCAUAACGUUCAUGAAAGAAUGGUGAGCUGCUCUUCAGAUUAUUCUCCUUUUUUCUUUUCUUUUUGGUGUCUAGGAAUAUCCCCAAAUGUCUUCUGAAUCAUUACAGAAAGAGUAAAUCAUGCCCCACGUGGUCUUUUUUUUUUUUUUCCCACGUGGUCUUUAACGGUACAGUUUUUAAGAUUUGUAAUCUGUAUAUGAUAGGUAGGGCAAAUUUAUUAACCAUAUUUAGUUAACUGGAACAUACUGUUCUGAAGAUAACUGGGAUGAUAAGAAUAUUACUGUGACUUAUUAAAGCCAAUUAAAACUUUCUGAAGAUUUAAGAUGUGAUUUUCUUCACUUUUAAAAAAAGAGUUUUAGCCUUGGGGUCCAUAGUUGCUGAGAUUCCAUUUUAAAAUAUUGGUUUUUUUUGAAAAAAUCUUUUCUCGUAUAAAACCUCUUAUCAGAUAAGUAGGACCCUACAAGAGGCUUUCACACUUCUUCUAUACCUUUGUUUACCUGAGUCCCCUGAAUUACCAUUUCUCUUCUGUUUUUUUUUUUUUUUUGCGGUACACGGGCCUCUCACUCUUGCGGCCUCUCCCAUUGCGGAGCACAGGCUCCGGAC